This 488-nucleotide ribosomal RNA is filed under the name uncultured bacterium. RNAcentral's name for it is "bacterial SSU rRNA". It matches the Rfam family "Bacterial small subunit ribosomal RNA", at positions 28 to 507 of the family's 1533-position model. The record is from RNAcentral.
GAUGAACGCUAGCGGGAGGCUUAACACAUGCAAGUCGAGGGGCAGCAUAGGGUAGCAAUACUCUGAUGGCGACCGGCAAACGGGUGAGUAACGCGUAUGUAACCUACCCUGUACAGGGGGAUAACCCGGAGAAAUUCGGACUAAUAUCCCAUAACAAUAUCCGGGGGCAUCUUUGGAUAUUUAAAGUUCCGGCGGUACGGGAUGGGCAUGCGUAACAUUAGCUAGUUGGUAAGGUAACGGCUUACCAAGGCUUUGAUGUUUAGGGGUCCUGAGAGGGUGGUCCCCCACACUGGUACUGAGACACGGACCAGACUCCUACGGGAGGCAGCAGUGAGGAAUAUUGGUCAAUGGGCGCAAGCCUGAACCAGCCAUCCCGCGUGCAAGGAAGACGGCGCUAUGCGUUGUAAACUGCUUUUCCAGGGAGAGAAACUUGCGCACGUGUUGCGCAAUUGACGGUACCCUGGGAAUAAGCAUCGGCUAACUCCGUG